GACGAACGCUGGCGGCGUGCUUAACACAUGCAAGUCGAGCGGUAAGGCCCUUUCGGGGGUACACGAGCGGCGAACGGGUGAGUAACACGUGGGUGACCUGCCCUCAGCUCUGGGAUAAGCCUGGGAAACCGGGUCUAAUACUGGAUAUGACUCCAUGACGCAUGUUGUGGGGUGGAAAGCCUUGUGCGGCUGAGGAUGGGCCCGCGGCCUAUCAGCUUGUUGGUGGGGNGAUGGCCUACCAAGGCGACGACGGGUAGCCGGCCUGAGAGGGCGACCGGCCACACUGGGACUGAGACACGGCCCAGACUCCUACGGGAGGCAGCAGUGGGGAAUCUUGCGCAAUGGCGAAAGCCUGACGCAGCGACGCCGCGUGAGGGA
RNAcentral lists this ribosomal RNA (378 nucleotides) under uncultured bacterium. RNAcentral's name for it is "bacterial SSU rRNA". It matches the Rfam family "Bacterial small subunit ribosomal RNA", at positions 28 to 408 of the family's 1533-position model. The record is from RNAcentral.